This 253-nucleotide ribosomal RNA is filed under the name uncultured bacterium. RNAcentral's name for it is "partial 16S ribosomal RNA". It matches the Rfam family "Bacterial small subunit ribosomal RNA", at positions 524 to 776 of the family's 1533-position model. The record is from RNAcentral.
UACAGAGACUGCAAGCGUUAUUCGGAUUCACUGGGCGUAAAGGGUGCGCAGGCGGCCGUGUGUGUGAGGCGUGAAAGCCCGGGGCUCAACCCCGGAAUUGCACCUCAAACUACAUGGCUAGAGCAUUGGAGAGGGAAGCGGAAUUCACGGUGUAGCAGUGAAAUGCGUAGAGAUGCGGAGGAACACCGAUGGCGAAGGCAGCCCCCUGGGCUAACACUGACGCUCAGGCACGAAAGCGUGGGGAGCAAACAGG